Molecule: ribosomal RNA, 322 nt
Filed under: uncultured eukaryote
Lineage: Eukaryota
Description: partial 18S ribosomal RNA
Rfam family: Eukaryotic small subunit ribosomal RNA
Source: RNAcentral
CCCUUAGAUGUUCUGGGCCGCACGCGUGCUACACUGAGUGGAUCAGCGGGUCAGGUUGCGCGAAAGCGUUUCCUAAUCUUGAAAUCCGCUCGUGAUGGGGAUUGACGGUUGCAAUUUUCUGUCAUGAACGAGGAAUACCUUGUAAGCGCGAGUCAUCAUCCCGCGCUGAAUACGUCCCUGCCCUUUGUACACACCGCCCGUCGCUCCUACCGAUUGAGUGGUCCGGUGAGGCUUUGGGAUCUGAGCGGAAAGAGCGUUUCGCUCGUUCUGCCCGGAAAACUCAGUCGAACCUUAUCAUUUAGAGGAAGGGGAAGUCGUAACA